Cyprinus carpio carpio is the source of this 2876-nucleotide long non-coding RNA. The record is from Ensembl. Lineage: Eukaryota; Metazoa; Chordata; Actinopteri; Cypriniformes; Cyprinidae.
CCUGAAAAGUGGCUUUGUGCGACUAUUAAAACUUAUUUGCGUAUCCCGGCUAGCAACAUCGGCUCAACCAAUGGUGUGCAUUUGGGGCAUGGCUAUCCUUUCUUUUAACCAAUGACAGUGAAUUAUAUUUCUGAAAGCACAAUUGGAUCUGCCUGUUUGAAAAAAGUAACUUUCUUUAUGUUUGGCCCUGGUAGUGUCAUUUUCGCAAACGUUGCUUUAUCCUGUUAUGUCCAUAAAACGCACCAUUUUAUAUUUAUAAAUAUUAUGCUAUUUCUACUUGAUUUGUCCCUUAUAACUACUAGUUUUGGUUUAAACCAGCAAUCAAGGUGAUUCAGUCAUAUUCAACAAUACUUUUAAGUUUUUUUUACAGUGACAAAACAUUUUACAGUUAUAAUAUAUAGGCUAUCAUUGUCCAUCAUUUUUUUUUUUUUUAAAUUACAAUUACAGAGAAAUUCUUAUGGUCAUAUUUAUUUUGAUUUUACAUAACUUUGUCAUUUUAAACUAUGGUUUCCCUUGUAAACUUUUCUAAGAGUAAUAUUACCUGAGUAUUCAUCAUAUUUGAUUUGAUUUCUGGGAGCAGAUUACACAUACAACUCUACAUGCAACACAAUUAUCAUGGAAUAAUGUCAAGCCUUACAAUACACCACUGCGCAGGUGACAAAAGUUUUUAUUUUUUUAUGAAGUUAAGAUAUGAAUUAUUUUCAGUACAGGUUGCGUCAUAUUUCUUUCUCUGUGCGUGCUCUGCUGUGUUUACUUGUACGCCAACUAACGACCCAACAACUGCAAAAAACAAACAGCAGUACGAUGGCCGACUCCCGCGCGCGGCAGGAAUACCUGACAUUCGUUUGUUCCGUCGCCGUCGCUCCGAGCAACAGAGGCCAAUUACUGCAGCAGCCGCAUGACCUUUAGCAUGCAGAUGAGCCGCGCAGCGCACGCGCUUAUGUGUGUGUGGCCGGUAAAUAUUAACGGGAACGGAAGAGUGGAGCCAUAAUGACGCACAGAUCGUUAGAGACUCGUUAGGGAGCACGAGACGGAGGAUAUUAAAGAGCAGUUAAGAGCAAAACGCACAUACACACCUUUCUACAGGACUGGCACACACACACUUCACCAGUCUAACGUACUCCUAUAAUGCCUGCAUAUAGGCUACCUUUGUCUAACUCACACAUAAACACGUGAGAGUAAUGCAAAGAUCUAUCUAACAGACACACAUAUCUGACAUGCAACAACAUAAUUCAUGUGUCUAACACACACACACACCUGCCUUCUAUGGAUAAAAACACUAAAACUGUCUGACACACAAACACAUUCAUCCUACUAGCACAUAUAGACACUUUACCUGUCUAACACGCACCUCACAAUUUACUUAUCUGACAUAAACAAACUUCCCUGUCUAUCACACACGCUUUAUCUGUCUAAGGCGCACAUAUACCCACAAUUCACCUGUCCAACAUGCAUGCAAACACACACACACUGAGCGUCGCAAGUUCUGAGCGCUGCGCUGCCGGGGUCUUUCAGCACGCUGGCAUUAGUAUUCACAGACAGCGCUUCCCUUCAGUGCCUGAAUUAAUUUUCCACCAUGCGUAUGUGUGUGCGUGUAUCACAUCACAGAAAGUGCGAGACCGCGGCAGAGAGAGAGCGAUAGACAGUGUGUGGUGAUCUCCCCGAAUCUCAAGCCUCUUUUCCUGUUAUUUUAUUGCGAUUUAAAUACUUCACUUGUCUAAUGCAUGUAAUCUGACUAAUCAGUGCAGGAAAUUGCCCACAGUCUGUUUCUAAAGAGGAAACCGUUCUGUUUCGAACCUGCCACAGAGAGAGACAGGCUUCCGACGGAAAGCAGCGUGCACGAAGAACGAAGAUUGAGCGUGUGUGCGCAGUGGUGUAUCUAUGGCCUCUAGCAGGGGAUAAGUGGGCCAUGCUAACCAGCUAAUCCCUGACCCCUACAGGUCAGCACAGUGAUGUCAUGAACUGAUUCCAGAUCAGAUGCAACUGGCUGUGGGAAGGACUGACUGCAGGUCAGCGUGGAAAAAUAGGAAGGUUCGGGGGAAUAAACUUAAACUGGUGCAAUCCCACAGACGUCCUGGGUGAGUUUAUUCCCUUAAGCGCAGUGUGGAAAAUUUGCGUGUCAAGCUGUGUUUUCCAGCACAUGAAUCCACACACACACACAGUUUAAUCCUGCGCAGUGGGGAUUGCCGUCUGGAGAUUGUACCGCGUCCAAGACUGAGUCGCCGCUUGCUGACCUUCUCACACACACUUCUAUACAUCCGUUCUAAGGCGGUGUGUGUGCAGCGUACAGCUUUGAUCCCCAGCUGAAGGGUACUUACAGGCCAAAUUUCCAAAUGCGUAAGAGUCAGCCCUCCCACUGGAGAGAGAGCGAGAGAGACAGAAUGAAUUCUUACACGGCUCUGGGAAUUGGGUCUCGGCGGCAGGAGCUAUUAAUAUAUCGCUGCGGCCCCCGAGAGAGAGACGGCGAGGUAGACAGAAAGACAAUCAGAUAAAGCCAGCGAUAGAAAGAGAGAGAAACAGAGAGGAAGAGAAACUGAGAGACAGACAGGUAGUUCAGACAGAGAAAAAGAGUGGUAGAAAGAUAGACAGGCAAAGAGAUACCAAACAGAUAGAGUGAAAGAAUGAUUACAGAAGGAUAGACAGAGACAUAGACACAGAGAGAGAAAGACCUAUACUGUCCACCACAGUGAUCCUUAGUAUGUCUGUGUGUUUCUAUGUAAGUUAAAGAUGUUAUAAUGUGUUACAGUUUAAUACUUCUAAGAUGUUACAAUAUUCCAUUCUAUUACUGUGAUGUUCAUUUAAAUAUUAUUAUUGUUAUAUUAUUAUUUUUAUCUUUUUGUACAUGUAUACUUAGAUGCAAAGAAAGCAAUAGAAAC